Scylla paramamosain (green mud crab) is the source of this 495-nucleotide long non-coding RNA. RefSeq lists it as uncharacterized. Lineage: Eukaryota; Metazoa; Arthropoda; Malacostraca; Decapoda; Portunidae. The record is from RefSeq and is a predicted model, not a curated record. The transcript is spliced from 3 exons.
GAAAAAAAAAAACAAUUUCUGGAACUCAUUACUCUUUUUGUCAUUAGCGACUAAGAAAAUAAUCGACGACACUUACACUGCGUCCUAUCAAGGUUGGUGGAGAAGCCAUUGGACUAAAGAAAACCAAGAGUCCACUUCAUUACACCUCUCCAGUCAGUGAUACCUUUGGAAAUUCUCAACUUUUCACCACAAAACGUUCCAUCAAGAAGCAGUUGGCCAAAAUAAUAAUGUCAGAAGUAAGACAAAGCUUUGAAGAAAGAACAUCUGUCAUAAAGUGUUACUGGAGGCACGAAAAUGUCAAAGAAGUGCAAAGACAAUUCAGAAGACACUUUGACAGGGAUCCACCAAGCGUGGCUUCCUUCAGUUUGAGUGAGGCACGCCUCUUCCUGCGGCACUUACAGAGAGCCUGACUGCUGAACGAGUGGCCAGUGGCGGUGCGUGUGUGUGUUUGUGCAGGAGGAGUACUCACCUGGAGACGCAACACUCCCUUCCUGA